GUAAGGAAUAUUGGGCAAUGGGCGCAAGCCUGACCCAGCCAUGCCGCGUGCAGGAUUGACGGCCCUAUGGGUUGUAAACUGCUUUUGUAUGGGAAAAAACCCCCGGUCGCGUACCGGGGCUGAUGUUACCAUAAGAAUAAGCAUCGGCUAACUCCGUGCCAGCAGCCGCGGUAAUACGGAGGAUGCAAGCGUUAUCCGGAUUUAUUGGGUUUAAAGGGUGCGCAGGCGGAACGUUAAGUCAGUGGUGAAAUCCUACAGCUCAACUGUAGAACUGCCAUUGAUACUGUCGUUCUUGAGUAUAGUUGGAGUGUGCGGAAUGUAUCAUGUAGCGGUGAAAUGCAUAGAUAUGAUACAGAACACCAAUCGCGAAGGCAGCUCACUAAGCUAUAACUGACGCUCAGGCACGAAAGCGUGGGGAUCAAACAGGAUUAGAAACCCGUGUAGUCC
Molecule: ribosomal RNA, 447 nt
Filed under: uncultured bacterium
Lineage: Bacteria
Description: bacterial SSU rRNA
Rfam family: Bacterial small subunit ribosomal RNA
Source: RNAcentral